This 517-nucleotide ribosomal RNA is filed under the name uncultured bacterium. RNAcentral's name for it is "partial 16S ribosomal RNA". It matches the Rfam family "Bacterial small subunit ribosomal RNA", at positions 28 to 523 of the family's 1533-position model. The record is from RNAcentral.
GACGAACGCUGGCGGCGUGCUUAACACAUGCAAGUCGAACGGAGGAUUUAUUUCGGUAAAUCCUUAGUGGCGAACGGGUGAGUAACGCGUGGGCAACCUGCCCUUCAGAUGGGGACAACAUCCCGAAAGGGGUGCUAAUACCGAAUACGAUCGUUUUCCCGCAUGGGAUUACGAUGAAAGAUGGCCUCUGUUUACAAGCUAUCGCUGAAGGAUGGGCCUGCGUCUGAUUAGCUAGUUGGUGGGGUAACGGCCUACCAAGGCGAUGAUCAGUAGCCGGUCUGAGAGGAGGAACGGCCACAUUGGGACUGAGACACGGCCCAGACUCCUACGGGAGGCAGCAGUGGGGAAUAUUGGACAAUGGGGGCAACCCUGAUCCAGCAAUGCCGCGUGUGUGAAGAAGGCCUGCGGGUUGUAAAGCACUUUCAAUCGGGAAGAAAAGGGAAUGGUGAAUAGUCAUUCUCCUUGACGUUACUGAUACAGGAAGCACCGGCUAACUCCGUGCCAGCAGCCGCCGUAA